RNAcentral lists this ribosomal RNA (254 nucleotides) under uncultured bacterium. Its description in RNAcentral is "partial 16S ribosomal RNA". It matches the Rfam family "Bacterial small subunit ribosomal RNA", at positions 524 to 776 of the family's 1533-position model. The record is from RNAcentral.
UACGGGGGAUGCAAGCGUUAUCCGGAUUUAUUGGGUUUAAAGGGUGCGUAGGCUGUGAGGUAAGUCAGCGGUGAAAUGCCCCCGCUCAACGGGGUGAAGUGCCAUUGAUACUGCCUUGCUGGAAUGCGGAUGCCGUGGGAGGAAUGUGUGGUGUAGCGGUGAAAUGCAUAGAUAUCACACAGAACACCGAUUGCGAAGGCAUCUCACGAAUCCGCGAUUGACGCUGAUGCACGAAAGCGUGGGGAGCAAAUAGG